This 930-nucleotide ribosomal RNA is filed under the name Leucauge argentina. Its description in RNAcentral is "SSU rRNA". It matches the Rfam family "Eukaryotic small subunit ribosomal RNA", at positions 754 to 1710 of the family's 1831-position model. Lineage: Eukaryota; Metazoa; Arthropoda; Arachnida; Araneae; Tetragnathidae. The record is from RNAcentral.
ACUUUGAAAAAAUUAGAGUGCUCAAAGCAGGCGCGACGCCUGAAUAAUGGUGCAUGGAAUAAUGGAAUAGGACCUCUGUUCUAUUUUGUUGGUUUUAGGAACACGAGGUAAUGAUUAAGAGGGACAGACGGGGGCAUUCGUAUUGCGACGCUAGAGGUGAAAUUCUUGGACCGCCGCACGACGAACUACUGCGAAAGCAUUUGCCAAGAAUGUUUCCAUUAAUCAAGAACGAAAGUUAGAGGUCCGAAGGCGAUCAGAUACCGCCCUAGUUCUAACCAUAAACGAUGCCAGCCAGCGAUCCGGCUGCGUUCCUCAAAUGACGCGCCGGGCAGCUUCCGGGAAACCAAAGCUUUUGGGUUCCGGGGGGAGUAUGGUUGCAAAGCUUAAACUUGAAGGAAUUGACGGAAGCGCAAACAAGGAAUGGGGCCUGCGGUUCAAUUUGACUCAACACGGUGCAACUCUCCUGGCCCGGACACAGGAAGGAUUGACAGAUUGAGAGCUCUUUCUUGAUUCUGUGAUAGGUGGUGCAUGGCCGUUUCUGGUUGGUGGAGUGAUUUGUCUGCUUUAUUGCGAUAACGAGCGAGACUCUAGCCUACUAAAUAGACGGUGCGAUCCUUCUGAGUCGCACGUUCUUCUUAGAGGGACAGGCGGUGUUCAGCCGCACGAAGCAGAGCAAAAACAGGUCAGGAUGCCCUUAGAUGUUCGGGGCCACACGCGCGCCACAUUGAAGGAACCAGCGUGUGCUUUCCCUGUCCGACAGGACUGGGUAACCCGUUGAAACUCCUUCGUGCUGGGGAUAGGGGUUUGUAAUUGUCCCCCUUGAACGAGGAAUUUCAAGUAAGCAUGAGUCAUCAGCUCGUGUUGAUUACGUCCCUGCGCUUUGUACACACCGCCCGUCGCUAUUAUCGAUGAAUUUUGGAGUGAGAUCUU